ACUCUCCCGAGUCCCUUUAAUAAUCAGUUGGCAGCCUGGCUGCCUGCCUGUGUCUGUUCGACCUGUUGUUGCCAAUAACCUUCCUCAACCGCGAUAUCGUGUUUGCAAUUUAUUCCUCUUGCCAGACCAUGCAGACUACCUCCUGUGAGAAAAGUAUAGACCACUUGUAGGUGUGUUCACUAUCUUAGAAAAACAGUGUUUUGGUUUGAGGUAACGCAGUUGAUCACUCCUUGAACGGGUCUGUUUUACCAGAAGAUAAACACCACCCUCCAUUUGUCUAUUAACAUUCGGCCAACUGCAAUAUCUGGCAUUCAAGAAGGUACGCGCAGCCAAUAUAAAGGCACUGUUUUCAACAAAGGCUGAGUUAGAGGCAAGUGCUGAGUCAUGGCGAGUGUUACAACACGCACUGUGUUGAUAACGGGAGCUAACAGAGGCCUGGGCUUGGAAAUGGUUAAACAAAUGGUUGAAGGUCCCUCGCCCUUGCCAUAUUUGUUUGCCUGUUGCAGAGAACCGGAUGGACCCAGAGGAAAGGAAUUGCAAGCACUGGCCAAGAGCCACCCUGAUGCGAUCACCGUCAUUCAACUAGAUGUCGCCGACCUCUGCAGCAUAAAAAAGUGUGCGGAGAGGGUAGGCUCCCUGGUGGGGCCAGGGGGCCUCAACCUGUUGAUCAACAAUGCAGCGGUUCUUUUCCAUGGCACUUUUCAGAGCACCAGUCCAGAGGACAUGCUAACUACCUUCAACACCAACGUCAUUGGCCCAAUGAGCCUCACUAAAGUGAGGGCAGGAGGGAGGAAGUUCUUACGGCUGUAUUUCUACAUAGUGAUGGAGCUCCUCCCUCACCUACGAGCAGCAGCUUUGGCCAGCAGGACACCAGGGAUGUCUUGCAGUAAAGCAGUCGUGGUCAACCUCUCUAGCAUGGCUGGAAGCAUGACCGGUACUCCUGAAAGCUACAGCAGGUUCCCUGUGAUGUCGUACCGCAUCAGCAAGGCGGCUUUGAACAUGCUGACCAUCUGCUCUGCCUUAGAGUUCCAGAAGGAUAAUAUCUUGUCUGUUCUCCUGCACCCUGGCUGGGUGAGAACCGACAUGGGCGGAAAAGAGUGACAUAGCUCAUCGCAUUGCUCCAGGCCAGUGGACAGUCAAGUUUGGUAGAGACAUCAAGGGUUUUCAUCACCAAACCACUGGAAAUAAUUGUGGUAUCUACACAUACUUAUGAAUGCACUCAGCCUGAGCACAGAUGCUCCAUUUUGGUGUACUGAGCCAAGGACAGAGGUUUGGAUACUGGACAAAUGAGGCCACAGCAUUGCUCCAAGGAUCAUUGCAGCCGAUCUACAGGAUCCCAAAGAGCAGUAAAAGGAAUCAUGAGGCGGAUGAUGUUUUCCUGAAGGACACAAUUGAGGCAGCAGCAUGGUGCCAGUUGCAGUCCUUCACCGACCACGUUUCUCUCCCGAUGGUCAUUGGGAUGGAAGGUGCAGAGCAGCAGGCAGCAUUAGCAGAGCUGAAAUCCGUUGACCGCAGUUGCCCGGAAGAAAGCCCAAACAGGAUUGAACCGUUCCAGUUCGUCUUCAAUUCAAAGAAGGACUACGAAAUGUUCUGUGUGGAGAUGUUUGACCGGAGAAAGCUGAAAGUGUUUGCUUCUUGGGAGUAGCGACAUUUGACCUAUUGUUUUAAUUUUUUUUUGUUAUUUUUAAAUUAUUCUGUUGAAUAAAAAGACUCCUGAGAUUGGUGUAACUUAA
RNA transcript from Gadus morhua (Atlantic cod), 1733 nucleotides. It is a transcript of the gene named C-factor, with no coding region annotated. The transcript is spliced from 10 exons. NCBI's taxonomy places the organism in Eukaryota, Metazoa, Chordata, Actinopteri, Gadiformes, Gadidae. The record is from RefSeq and is a predicted model, not a curated record.